Molecule: ribosomal RNA, 490 nt
Filed under: uncultured Polaromonas sp.
Lineage: Bacteria; Pseudomonadati; Pseudomonadota; Betaproteobacteria; Burkholderiales; Comamonadaceae
Description: bacterial SSU rRNA
Rfam family: Bacterial small subunit ribosomal RNA
Source: RNAcentral
GCGAGUGGCGAACGGGUGAGUAAUAUAUCGGAACGUGCCCAGUCGUGGGGGAUAACGUAGAGAAAUUUACGCUAAUACCGCAUACGAUCUAAGGAUGAAAGCGGGGGACUUCGCAAGAGGCCUCGCGCGAUUGGAGCGGCUGAUAUCAGAUUAGGUUGUUGGUGAGGUAAAAGCUCACCAAGCCGACGAUCUGUAGCUGGUUUGAGAGAACGACCAGCCACACUGGGACUGAGACACGGCCCAGACUCCUACGGGAGGCAGCAGUGGGGAAUUUUGGACAAUGGGCGCAAGCCUGAUCCAGCCAUGCCGCGUGCAGGAUGACGGUCCUAUGGAUUGUAAACUGCUUUUAUACGAGAAGAAACACUCCGACGUGUCGGAGCUUGACGGUAUCGUAAGAAUAAGGAUCGGCUAACUCCGUGCCAGCAGCCGCGGUAAUACGGAGGAUCCAAGCGUUAUCCGGAAUCAUUGGGUUUAAAGGGUCCGUAGGCGG